AGAGUUUGAUCCUGGCUCAGGAUGAACGCUAGCGGGAGGCUUAACACAUGCAAGUCGAGGGGCAGCACGGGGUAGCAAUAUCCUGGUGGCGACCGGCGCACGGGUGAGUAACGCGUAUGCAACCUACCCUGUACAGGGGGAUAGCCCGGAGAAAUUCGGAUUAAUACCCCAUAAAGAUAUCGAGAGGCAUCUUUUGAUAUUUAAAGAUUUAUCGGUACGGGAUGGGCAUGCGUAACAUUAGCUAGUUGGUAGGGUAACGGCCUACCAAGGCAACGAUGUUUAGGGGUCCUGAGAGGGUGAUCCCCCACACUGGUACUGAGACACGGACCAGACUCCUACGGGAGGCAGCAGUGAGGAAUAUUGGUCAAUGGGCGUAAGCCUGAACCAGCCAUCCCGCGUGCAGGAAGACGGCGCUAUGCGUUGUAAACUGCUUUUCCAGGGGAAGAAAACUUCCGACGUGUCGGGACUUGCCGGUACCUUGGGAAUAAGCAUCGGAUAACUCCGUGCCAGCAGCCGCGGUAAUACGGAGGAUGCGAGCGUUAUCCGGAUUUAUUGGGUUUAAAGGGUGCGUAGGCGGAUUAAUAAGUCAGUGGUGAAAACCUUCAGCUUAACUGGAGAACUGCCAUUGAUACUGUUAGUCUUGAGUACGGUCAAGGUAGGCGGAAUGUGUAAUGUAGCGGUGAAAUGCUUAGAUAUUACACAGAACACCGAUUGCGAAGGCAGCUUACUGGGCCAUUACUGACGCUGAUGCACGAAAGCGUGGGGAGCGAACAGGAUUAGAUACCCUGGUAGUCCACGCCGUAAACGAUGAUCACUCGCUGUUAGCGAUACACAGUUAGCGGCAAAGCAAAAGCAUUAAGUGAUCCACCUGGGGAGUACGGCCGCAAGGCUGAAACUCAAAGGAAUUGACGG
RNAcentral lists this ribosomal RNA (912 nucleotides) under uncultured Bacteroidota bacterium. RNAcentral's name for it is "bacterial SSU rRNA". It matches the Rfam family "Bacterial small subunit ribosomal RNA", at positions 8 to 916 of the family's 1533-position model. The record is from RNAcentral. Lineage: Bacteria; Pseudomonadati; Bacteroidota.